GUUAAUUUAGGUAUAGUCACGUGACUGGAAAUUUCGGUAUUAAUCAGUGGUGAAGCGGGCUAUCUGUCCUUUCCUAUUCCACGAGGGCUGCAGUUCACAUCAAGAAAUUGGAUAGAAGAGAAUUACCCACCCUCCUCCCCGUUGUUGGACGCGAUAUGUUGAACUUAUAUAGAUACGUUAUGUGUAGUGGGCGUUAGUAAUGCCCCCACCUUUUCUGUGCUAAAUGUUAUAUAGUUAUUAAUUAAUAAUUUUUCUUGUUAAUUAUUAAAAAUUGAUUAAAACAAUAAAGCGGCUAUGUGCCAACAACCGGGCACAUAAGCCAUAAUUAUGCCAUAAAGGCUUUGACUGGUCUCGUAGUAUUCGGCAGCACAGAAAACCGAGCUCAAUCUGACAAACAGUUUGCCGAUGGUGCUUUAAUAUAUGUAGGGAAGCGAUAAAUUAAUAUAAUGCAGCAAAUGCGCGCCAAGCAGUAUAAACGCGGCUGAAAUACGAUAUUAAAAUCUUGAAUGUGCCGUAUGAUUUA
Molecule: long non-coding RNA, 523 nt
Filed under: Paramuricea clavata
Lineage: Eukaryota; Metazoa; Cnidaria; Anthozoa; Malacalcyonacea; Plexauridae
Source: RNAcentral